AACGAACGCUGGCGGCAGGCUUAACACAUGCAAGUCGAACGGGCGUAGCAAUACAUCAGUGGCAGACGGGUGAGUAACACGUGGGAACCUUCCUAGGGGUACGGAACAACUCAGGGAAACUUGAGCUAAUACCGUAUACGUCCGUAAGGAGAAAGAUUCAUCGCCCCUAGACGGGCCCGCGUCGGAUUAGGUAGUUGGUGGGGUAACGGCCUACCAAGCCUACGAUCCGUAGCUGAUCUGAGAGGANGAUCAGCCACACUGGGACUGAGACACGGCCCAGACUCCUACGGGAGGCAGCAGUGGGGAAUCUUGGACAAUGGGCGCAAGCCUGAUCCAGCCAUGCCGCGUGAGUGAAGAAGGCCUUAGGGUUGUAAAGCUCUUUUUACCAGGGACGAUAAUGACGGUACCUGGAGAAUAAGCCCCGGCAAACUU
RNAcentral lists this ribosomal RNA (432 nucleotides) under uncultured bacterium. RNAcentral describes it as "bacterial SSU rRNA". It matches the Rfam family "Bacterial small subunit ribosomal RNA", at positions 29 to 503 of the family's 1533-position model. The record is from RNAcentral.